RNAcentral lists this ribosomal RNA (404 nucleotides) under uncultured bacterium. RNAcentral's name for it is "partial 16S ribosomal RNA". It matches the Rfam family "Bacterial small subunit ribosomal RNA", at positions 30 to 524 of the family's 1533-position model. The record is from RNAcentral.
AUUGAACGCUGGCGGCAGGCCUAACACUUGCAAGUCGAACGAGUGGCGGACGGGUGCGUAAUGUCUGGGAAACUGCCUGAUGGAGGGGGCUAACUACUGGAAACGGUAGCUAAUACCGCAUACCAUCAGAUGUGCCCAGAUGGGAUUAGCUGGUUGGUGGGGUAACGGCUCACCAAGGCCACGAUCACUAGCUGGUCUGAGAGGAUGACCAGCCACACUGGAACUGAGACACGGUCCAGACUCCUACGGGAGGCAGCAGUGGAGAAUAUUGCACAAUGGGCGCAAGCCUGAUGCAGCCAGGCCGCGUGUAUGAAGAAGGCCUGCGGGUUGUAAAGUACUUUCAGCGGGGAGGCGUUACCCGCAGAAGAAGCACCGGCUAACUCCGUGCCAGCAGCCGCGGGAAC